Molecule: unclassified non-coding RNA, 608 nt
Filed under: Hevea brasiliensis (rubber tree)
Lineage: Eukaryota; Viridiplantae; Streptophyta; Magnoliopsida; Malpighiales; Euphorbiaceae
Source: RNAcentral
AAAAAAAUAUACAUGAUGAGGAUGAAUUCUCAGUGUUCUAAGAGUAGAAAGUCCCUCUAGACAAUUUUUAAUGACUCAAAACUAGAUACAUUGUUGAUAAUUUAAAAUUACAACACAAUGAGAUCCCUAUGGACCCUCAAAUGUACACAAAUAACUCAGCCAAUAGUCCCAAGAAGGCCAUGCAGUGUGAGAAAAAUCAUUUUGUUUCCCCUGCUAUUUUACCAUUUCAGCUCAAGGAACUUGUCUCUNCUCUGGAAUCAGAAGGAAGCAGAAAUCAUCCCCUUUGAAUAGGAGCUCUACACUGCAAUGAUGGGCAUCACACUAACUAAGGCAUCCUUGGUCUCUCAAAGCCCAACCCAUUUCACCCAUCUGAAAAUUCUGCCAACUCUGAAGGGCAACUCAUAGUCUUUGGUAACGGCAGGCUCCCUCCUUGCUGCCUCUGUGUCGGACCAUUCGUACACUCCACGCUCUUGUUGACUGCCAGGUACAGUGUUGUCCAGGAUAACAGCCACCAGGAAUGCAAUCACCAUAUGUAAGGAUAAUAACGUGUUUAAAAGGUAGUUCAACCCUCCAUAUUUGCUGCGGAAUGGUCCAUGAGAGGCAACAAU